RNAcentral lists this ribosomal RNA (1473 nucleotides) under uncultured bacterium. Its description in RNAcentral is "16S ribosomal RNA". It matches the Rfam family "Bacterial small subunit ribosomal RNA". The record is from RNAcentral.
GCUCAGGAUGAACGCUAGCGACAGGCUUAACACAUGCAAGUCGAGGGGCAGCGGGGGUGAUGGCUUGCCAUCACCUGCCGGCGACCGGCGCACGGGUGAGUAACACGUAUGCAACCUGCCCGCCACAGGGGGAUAAGCGGAAGAAAUUCCGUCUAAUACCGCGUGACGCGGCGCCGGGGCAUCCCGGUGCCGCCAAAGGGAUUACCGGUGGCGGAUGGGCAUGCGGCGCAUUAGCUAGUCGGCGGGGUAACGGCCCACCGAGGCGACGAUGCGUAGGGGUUCUGAGAGGAAGGUCCCCCACACUGGUACUGAGACACGGACCAGACUCCUACGGGAGGCAGCAGUGAGGAAUAUUGGUCAAUGGGCGCGAGCCUGAACCAGCCAAGUCGCGUGAGGGAUGACGGUCCUACGGAUUGUAAACCUCUUUUGCCGGGGAGCAAGCGUGCGUUCGUGAACGCGCGUCGAGAGUACCCGGAGAAAAAGCAUCGGCUAACUCCGUGCCAGCAGCCGCGGUUAUACGGAGGAUGCGAGCGUUAUCCGGAUUUAUUGGGUUUAAAGGGUGCGUAGGCGGGAUGCCAAGUCAGCGGUAAAAAUGCGGUGCUCAACGCCGUCGAGCCGUUGAAACUGGCGUUCUUGAGUGGGCGAGAAGUAUGCGGAAUGCGUGGUGUAGCGGUGAAAUGCAUAGAUAUCACGCAGAACUCCGAUUGCGAAGGCAGCAUACCGGCGCCCUACUGACGCUGAGGCACGAAAGCGUGGGUAUCGAACAGGAUUAGAUACCCUGGUAGUCCACGCAGUAAACGAUGAAUGCUAACUGUCCGGCUCGAAUGAGCGCUGGGCGGUACAGCGAAAGCGUUAAGCAUUCCACCUGGGGAGUACGCCGGCAACGGUGAAACUCAAAGGAAUUGACGGGGACCCGCACAAGCGGAGGAACAUGUGGUUUAAUUCGAUGAUACGCGAGGAACCUUACCCGGGCUCAAACGCAGGAUGACGGGUCCCGAAAGGGGUCUUUCUUCGGACAUUCUGCGAGGUGCUGCAUGGUUGUCGUCAGCUCGUGCCGUGAGGUGUCGGCUUAAGUGCCAUAACGAGCGCAACCCCUGUCCACAGUUGCCAGCAGGUAAAGCUGGGGACUCUGUGGAGACUGCCGGCGCAAGCUGCGAGGAAGGCGGGGAUGACGUCAAAUCAGCACGGCCCUUACGUCCGGGGCGACACACGUGUUACAAUGGCAGGUACAGCGGGAUGCCACGGGGCGACCCGGCGCUGAACCCGAAAACCUGUCUCAGUUCGGAUUGGAGUCUGCAACCCGACUCCAUGAAGCUGGAUUCGCUAGUAAUCGCGCAUCAGCCACGGCGCGGUGAAUACGUUCCCGGGCCUUGUACACACCGCCCGUCAAGCCAUGGAAGCCGGGGGUACCUGAAGUGCGUGACCGCGAGGAGCGCCCUAGGGUAAAACCGGUGACUGGGGCUAAGUCGUAAC